GAUGAACGCUAGCUAUAGGCUUAACACAUGCAAGUCGAGGGACCGGGGCACGGGUGAGUAACGCGUAUCAAACCUGCCCAUAACUAAGGGAUAACUCAGCGAAAGUUGGACUAAUACAUUAUGGUUAUGGAUGGGGAUGCGUCUGAUUAGCUUGUUGGAGGGGUCACGGCCAACCAAGGCAACGAUCAGUAGGGGUUCUGAGAGCAAGGCCCCCCACAUUGGAACUGAGACACAGUCCAAACUCCUACGGGAGGCAGCAGUGAGUAAUAGUGGGGAAUGGACGCAAGUCUGAACCAGCCAAGUAGCGUGCAGGAUGACGGGCUAUGGGUGGUAAACUGCUUUUAUAUGGGGUUAGUUACCAUAUGAAUAAGGACCGGCUAAUUCCGUGCCAGCAGCCGCGGUAAUAC
RNAcentral lists this ribosomal RNA (407 nucleotides) under uncultured bacterium. Its description in RNAcentral is "partial 16S ribosomal RNA". It matches the Rfam family "Bacterial small subunit ribosomal RNA", at positions 28 to 526 of the family's 1533-position model. The record is from RNAcentral.